GGUGGGGCCACGUGGAGUUUGUUAUAGAGAGUGGAGUGGUGUUCGUUGUCGCGACUUGCUGGAGAGUUCGGGCCAGACGGCUGAAACUCGGUUGGGAUGUUUGGUGGAGCAGAAUAGCUCUCUGUCUCAGCAAUUCUAAGAGAAGCUCAGAUAUUUUCAAGGUUGCUGAUGGGUUAACUGUUGUUGGGUGCCUUAGGCGUUGAUGCUGCAGACGAAGGUCAUCUACUGUAGAGGCCCUGACGAAAAUUUUCU
Molecule: long non-coding RNA, 252 nt
Filed under: Elaeis guineensis (African oil palm)
Lineage: Eukaryota; Viridiplantae; Streptophyta; Magnoliopsida; Arecales; Arecaceae
Description: long non-coding RNA (EGUI_LNC039802)
Source: RNAcentral